This 397-nucleotide ribosomal RNA is filed under the name uncultured bacterium. RNAcentral's name for it is "partial 16S ribosomal RNA". It matches the Rfam family "Bacterial small subunit ribosomal RNA", at positions 523 to 918 of the family's 1533-position model. The record is from RNAcentral.
AUACGUAGGUGACAAGCGUUAUCCGGAUUUACUGGGCGUAAAGGGCGUGUAGGCGGUCUUGCAAGUCAGAAGUGAAAUUCCUGAGCUCAACUCGGGCGCUGCUUCUGAAACUGCAGGACUUGAGUGCUGGAGGGGAUAGCGGAAUUCCUAGUGGAGCGGUAAAAUGCGCAGAUAUUAGGAAGAACACCGGUGGCGAAGGCGGCUAUCUGGACAGUAACUGACGCUGAGGCGCGAAAGCGUGGGGAGCAAACAGGAGUAGAUACCCUGGUAGUCCACGCUGUAAACGAUGAAUACUAGGUGUAGGGGGUAUCGACUCCCUCUGUGCCGCAGUUAACACAAUAAGUAUUCCGCCUGGGGAGUACGGCCGCAAGGUUGGAACUCAAAUGAAUUGACGGGG